UACAGAGGGGGCUAGCGUUAUUCGGAAUUAUUGGGCGUAAAGGGCGCGUAGGCGGCCACGCGUGUCUUUCGUGAAAUCCCUCGGCUUAACUGAGGACGUGCGGAAGAAACUGCGAGGCUCGAGUCCGGGAGAGGGGGGCGGAAUUCCCAGUGUAGCGGUGAAAUGCGUAGAUAUUGGGAGGAACACCGGUGGCGAAGGCGGCCCCCUGGACCGGUACUGACGCUGAGGCGCGAAAGCGUGGGGAGCAAACGGG
This 253-nucleotide ribosomal RNA is filed under the name uncultured bacterium. Its description in RNAcentral is "partial 16S ribosomal RNA". It matches the Rfam family "Bacterial small subunit ribosomal RNA", at positions 524 to 776 of the family's 1533-position model. The record is from RNAcentral.